GAUGAACGCUGGCGGUAUGCCUAACACAUGCAAGUCGAACGAAAUCUUCGGAUUUAGUGGCGGAAGGGUGAGUAACGCGUGAGAAUCUGCCUCGAGGAUGGGGACAACAGUUGGAAACGACUGCUAAUACCCAAUAUGGCGAAAGCUGAAAUUUUUAGCCUUGAGAGGAGCUCGCGUCCGAUUAGUUAGUUGGUGGUGUAAAGGACUACCAAGGCAGCGAUCGGUAGCUGGUCUGAGAGGAUGAGCAGCCACACUGGGACUGAGACACGGCCCAG
This 275-nucleotide ribosomal RNA is filed under the name uncultured bacterium. RNAcentral's name for it is "partial 16S ribosomal RNA". It matches the Rfam family "Bacterial small subunit ribosomal RNA", at positions 28 to 334 of the family's 1533-position model. The record is from RNAcentral.